Molecule: microRNA precursor, 87 nt
Filed under: Alligator mississippiensis (American alligator)
Lineage: Eukaryota; Metazoa; Chordata; Crocodylia; Alligatoridae
Description: microRNA ami-mir-9598 precursor
Source: miRBase by way of RNAcentral
CUUCCCUUCUCCCCCCCCUUUCAAAAUUCUAGAUCUGCCUAUGGGCAUGGGUAGUACUAGGAUUUUGGAAAGGGGGUGGGAGGGCAC